GUGCGUGAUGAUGGAAAAUU
Molecule: microRNA, 20 nt
Filed under: Gallus gallus (chicken)
Lineage: Eukaryota; Metazoa; Chordata; Aves; Galliformes; Phasianidae
Description: gga-miR-1434
Source: miRBase by way of RNAcentral